UACGUAGGGUGCGAGCGUUAAUCGGAAUUACUGGGCGUAAAGCGUGCGCAGGCGGUUUUGUAAGCCAGAUGUGAAAGCCCCGGGCUCAACCUGGGAAUGGCAUUUGGGACUGCAAGGCUUGAGUGCGGCAGAGGAGACUGGAAUUCCUGGUGUAGCAGUGAAAUGCGUAGAUAUCGGGAGGAACACCUGAGGCGAAGGCGGGCUACUGGGCCGAUACUGACGCUGAUGCGCGAAAGCCAGGGGAGCGAACGGG
RNAcentral lists this ribosomal RNA (253 nucleotides) under uncultured bacterium. Its description in RNAcentral is "partial 16S ribosomal RNA". It matches the Rfam family "Bacterial small subunit ribosomal RNA", at positions 524 to 776 of the family's 1533-position model. The record is from RNAcentral.